ACUUAUAUAUUUUAAAAGUAAUAUUGCAUUGAAGCUGCAAAAGUGGAAGUAUUCCUGUAAGUG
Molecule: transfer RNA, 63 nt
Filed under: Engaeus quadrimanus
Lineage: Eukaryota; Metazoa; Arthropoda; Malacostraca; Decapoda; Parastacidae
Description: tRNA-Phe
Source: RNAcentral